GAUGAAGAACGCAGUGAAACGCGAUACGUAAUGUGAAUUGCAGAAUUCAGUGAAUCAUCGAAUCUUUGAACGCACAUUGCGCCCGCCAGUAUUCUGGCGGGCAUGCCUGUUCGAGCGUCAUUUCAACCAUCAAGCCCCAGGCUUGUGUUGGGGACCUGCGGCUGCCGCAGGCCCUGAAAACCAGUGGCGGGCUCGCUGUCACACCGGGCGUAGUAGAUUUUAUCUCGCUCAGGGCGUGCUGCGGGUUCCGGCCGUUAAAAAGCCUUUUUUACCCAAGGUUGACCUCGGAUCAGGUAGGAAGACCCGCUGAACUUAAGCAUAUCAAUAAGCGGAGGA
This 336-nucleotide unclassified non-coding RNA is filed under the name soil metagenome. RNAcentral describes it as "partial contains 5.8S ribosomal RNA, internal transcribed spacer 2, and large subunit ribosomal RNA". The stretch from base 1 to 120 matches the Rfam family "5.8S ribosomal RNA", at positions 35 to 154 of the family's 154-position model. The record is from RNAcentral.